GAUGAACGCUGGCGGCGUGCCUAAUACAUGCAAGUCGAGCGCACGGACGAGAUGCUUGCUCCUAUGAUGUUAGCAGCGGACGGGUGAGUAACGCGUGGAUAACCUACCUAUAAGACUGGGACAACUUCUGGAAACCGGUGCUAAUACCGGAUAAUAUUUUGAAACGCAUGUUUCAAAAGUGAAAGAUGCUCUUGCUGUACCUUAUAGUUGUCUCCGCUCUGAAUUAGCUAGUUGGUAAGGUAACGGCUUACCAAGGGAACGAUCAUACGCCGACCUGGGAGGUGGUCCGCCAAAACGGGAAUGGAGACACGCUCCAGAUUCCUACGGGAGGCAGCAGUAGGGAAUCUUCGGCAAUGGGCGAAGGCCGGACGGGGCACGGCCGCGGGGGGGAGGAAGGUCUUCGGAUGGAAAAACUCUGUUAUUGGGGAAGAACAUAUGUGGAAGUAACUGCGCACAUCGUGACGGUACCUAAUCAGAAAGCGACGGCUAACUACGUG
This 497-nucleotide ribosomal RNA is filed under the name uncultured bacterium. RNAcentral's name for it is "partial 16S ribosomal RNA". It matches the Rfam family "Bacterial small subunit ribosomal RNA", at positions 28 to 507 of the family's 1533-position model. The record is from RNAcentral.